GACGAACGCUGGCGGCGUGCCUAACACAUGCAAGUCGAACGGGGUGAUUUCCUUCGGGAGAUCACUUAGUGGCGAACGGGUGAGUAACGCGUGAGAAACCUGCCUUUCAGUGGGGGACAACAGUUGGAAACGACUGCUAAUACCGCAUAAUGUAUUUUAGGGGCAUCCCUUGAAUACCAAAGCUUUAUGUGCUGAAAGAUGGUCUCGCGUCUGAUUAGCUAGUUGGUGAGGUAACGGCUCACCAAGGCGACGAUCAGUAGCCGGUCUGAGAGGAUGAACGGCCACAUUGGGACUGAGAUACGGCCCAG
This 308-nucleotide ribosomal RNA is filed under the name uncultured bacterium. RNAcentral's name for it is "bacterial SSU rRNA". It matches the Rfam family "Bacterial small subunit ribosomal RNA", at positions 28 to 334 of the family's 1533-position model. The record is from RNAcentral.